Molecule: long non-coding RNA, 755 nt
Organism: Chionomys nivalis (European snow vole)
Lineage: Eukaryota; Metazoa; Chordata; Mammalia; Rodentia; Cricetidae
Exons: 4
Source: RefSeq, a predicted model, not a curated record
GAGCGAGCAGAGGCGUCCAGAGCAUGCGAGGCUCUGUGGACUUGUGCAGGCCACACAGCUCUCAAGGAUUGGACCCGGAAUUUGCUCCUGUCACACGGCCUCCUGAUCACUCACUUCCCCCACGACCUUCAAGUGCUCAGUGUGUUUUAGCUGGUAAGGAUGAAAUCUCCCUGCUUCACCAUCUGAAGGGACCCUGGAGGCUGUUCUUCAGCACACAGCUCAGGUUCCUGGAUGCCCCACAAGAAGAUGAAGAGGACCAGGAAUGGCAGAAGUUCCCAGAGUCUCAUCUUAAGAAGCAGUUGUCUGGCCAGAGGCUAAGCUGGAUGGAACUGGUCAGUGACUCUGGCUUCUGCUCUGAGGCUCUGUGCCCCAACCGUCAAGGAAGCAACUCUGGACACGAGCCAGUCAUGUUCCCUCCCGGAGGCCAUCCGUGGCCUAUCUGUACCCACAGUCACACUGUGGAGGAAAGGCCUCUGACUCUCUGAUCUGGACCUCUGCAAGCUGAGGCCCAUCCCCCACUCUGCAUAUCCUCCAGGCCAGCUGAUCCACAAGCUUCUGCGGUUCCUCUGUCUUCUGUGCCCAUCUCAGUGAAGGAGCACUGUAAUUACAGGUUCUGAUGCCCAGCAGGUGGGCUGGCAUGGUACAGAGCUUUAUGGAGCGUAAGAGGGGAAGUAAGGCGGACCCUGACCAGAACUGAGUAAAUUAUUCCUGAGCACCUACCAUUUGCUGGAUGUUCUCAGAGAAAAAGAAGACAU